CACUAUCGUUAACUGAAUACAUAGGUUAACGAGGCGAACCGGGGGAACUGAAACAUCUAAGUACCCCGAGGAAAAGAAAUCAACCGAGAUUCCCCCAGUAGCGGCGAGCGAACGGGGAGCAGCCCAGAGUCUGAAUCAGCUUGUGUGUUAGUGGAACGGUCUGGAAAGUCCGACGGUACAGGGUGAUAGUCCCGUACACCAAAAUGCACAGGCUGUGAACUCGAAGAGUAGGGCGGGACACGUGGUAUCCUGUCUGAAUAUGGGGGGACCAUCCUCCAAGGCUAAAUACUCCUGACUGACCGAUAGUGAACCAGUACCGUGAGGGAAAGGCGAAAAGAACCCCGGCGAGGGGAGUGAAAAAGAACCUGAAACCGUGUACGUACAAGCAGUGGGAGCACCUUCGGGUGUGACUGCGUACCUUUUGUAUAAUGGGUCAGCGACUUAUAUUCUGUAGCAAGGUUAACCGUAUAGGGGAGCCGCAGGGAAACCGAGUCUUAACUGGGCGUUAAGUUGCAGGGUAUAGACCCGAAACCCGGUGAUCUAGCCAUGGGCAGGUUGAAGGUUGGGUAACACUAACUGGAGGACCGAACCGACUAAUGUUGAAAAAUUAGCGGAUGACUUGUGGCUGGGGGUGAAAGGCCAAUCAAACCGGGAGAUAGCUGGUUCUCCCCGAAAGCUAUUUAGGUAGCGCCUCGUGAAUUCAUCUUCGGGGGUAGAGCACUGUUUCGGCUAGGGGGUCAUCCCGACUUACCAACCCGAUGCAAACUACGAAUACCGAAGAAUGUUAUCACGGGAGACACACGGCGGGUGCUAACGUCCGUCGUGAAGAGGGAAACAACCCAGACCGCCAGCUAAGGUCCCAAAGUCAUGGUUAAGUGGGAAACGAUGUGGGAAGGCACAGACAGCCAGGAUGUUGGCUUAGAAGCAGCCAUCAUUUAAAGAAAGCGUAAUAGCUCACUGGUCGAGUCGGCCUGCGCGGAAGAUGUAACGGGGCUAAACCAUGCACCGAAGCUGCGGCAGCGACACUAUGUGUUGUUGGGUAGGGGAGCGUUCUGUAAGCCUGCGAAGGUGACCUGUGAGGGUUGCUGGAGGUAUCAGAAGUGCGAAUGCUGACAUAAGUAACGAUAAAGCGGGUGAAAAGCCCGCUCGCCGGAAGACCAAGGGUUCCUGUCCAACGUUAAUCGGGGCAGGGUGAGUCGACCCCUAAGGCGAGGCCGAAAGGCGUAGUCGAUGGGAAACAGGUUAAUAUUCCUGUACUUGGUGUUACUGCGAAGGGGGGACGGAGAAGGCUAUGUUAGCCGGGCGACGGUUGUCCCGGUUUAAGCAUGUAGGCUGGUUGUCCAGGCAAAUCCGGAUAAUCAAGGCUGAGGUGUGAUGACGAGGCACUACGGUGCUGAAGUAACAAAUGCCCUGCUUCCAGGAAAAGCCUCUAAGCAUCAGGUAACAUCAAAUCGUACCCCAAACCGACACAGGUGGUCAGGUAGAGAAUACCAAGGCGCUUGAGAGAACUCGGGUGAAGGAACUAGGCAAAAUGGUGCCGUAACUUCGGGAGAAGGCACGCUGGUGUGUAGGUGAAGUCCCUGCGGAUGGAGCUGAGACCAGUCGAAGAUACCAGCUGGCUGCAACUGUUUAUUAAAAACACAGCACUGUGCAAACACGAAAGUGGACGUAUACGGUGUGACGCCUGCCCGGUGCCGGAAGGUUAAUUGAUGGGGUUAUCCGUAAGGAGAAGCUCUUGAUCGAAGCCCCGGUAAACGGCGGCCGUAACUAUAACGGUCCUAAGGUAGCGAAAUUCCUUGUCGGGUAAGUUCCGACCUGCACGAAUGGCGUAAUGAUGGCCAGGCUGUCUCCACCCGAGACUCAGUGAAAUUGAACUCGCUGUGAAGAUGCAGUGUACCCGCGGCAAGACGGAAAGACCCCGUGAACCUUUACUAUAGCUUGACACUGAACAUUGAGCCUUGAUGUGUAGGAUAGGUGGGAGGCUUUGAAGCGUGGACGCCAGUCUGCGUGGAGCCAACCUUGAAAUACCACCCUUUAAUGUUUGAUGUUCUAACGUUGGCCCCUUACCGGGGUUGCGGACAGUGUCUGGUGGGUAGUUUGACUGGGGCGGUCUCCUCCCAAAGCGUAACGGAGGAGCACGAAGGUUAGCUAAUCCUGGUCGGACAUCAGGAGGUUAGUGCAAUGGCAUAAGCUAGCUUGACUGCGAGCGUGACGGCGCGAGCAGGUGCGAAAGCAGGUCAUAGUGAUCCGGUGGUUCUGAAUGGAAGGGCCAUCGCUCAACGGAUAAAAGGUACUCCGGGGAUAACAGGCUGAUACCGCCCAAGAGUUCAUAUCGACGGCGGUGUUUGGCACCUCGAUGUCGGCUCAUCACAUCCUGGGGCUGAAGUAGGUCCCAAGGGUAUGGCUGUUCGCCAUUUAAAGUGGUACGCGAGCUGGGUUUAGAACGUCGUGAGACAGUUCGGUCCCUAUCUGCCGUGGGCGCUGGAGAAUUGAGGGGGGCUGCUCCUAGUACGAGAGGACCGGAGUGGACGCAUCACUGGUGUUCGGGUUGUCAUGCCAAUGGCACUGCCCGGUAGCUAAAUGCGGAAGAGAUAAGUGCUGAAAGCAUCUAAGCACGAAACUUGCCCCGAGAUGAGUUCUCCCUGAGACUUUAAGUCUCCUGAAGGAACGUUGAAGACGACGACGUUGAUAGGCCGGGUGUGUAAGCGCAGCGAUGCGUUGAGCUAACCGGUACUAAUGAACCGUGAGGCUUAACCUU
RNAcentral lists this ribosomal RNA (2758 nucleotides) under Klebsiella pneumoniae. Its description in RNAcentral is "bacterial LSU rRNA". It matches the Rfam family "Bacterial large subunit ribosomal RNA". Lineage: Bacteria; Pseudomonadati; Pseudomonadota; Gammaproteobacteria; Enterobacterales; Enterobacteriaceae. The record is from RNAcentral.